ACGAACGCUGGCGGCGUGCUUAACACAUGCAAGUCGAACGGUAAGGCCCUUCGGGGUACACGAGUGGCGAACGGGUGAGUAACACGUGGGUGAUCUGCCCUGCACUUCGGGAUAAGCCUGGGAAACUGGGUCUAAUACCGGAUAUGACUACGAAUCGCAUGGUUUGUGGUGGAAAGCUUUUGCGGUGUGGGAUGGGCCCGCGGCCUAUCAGCUUGUUGGUGGGGUGAUGGCCUACCAAGGCGACGACGGGUAGCCG
This 256-nucleotide ribosomal RNA is filed under the name Mycobacterium sp. ISO832_OTU1221. RNAcentral's name for it is "partial 16S ribosomal RNA". It matches the Rfam family "Bacterial small subunit ribosomal RNA", at positions 29 to 289 of the family's 1533-position model. Lineage: Bacteria; Bacillati; Actinomycetota; Actinomycetes; Mycobacteriales; Mycobacteriaceae. The record is from RNAcentral.